RNAcentral lists this long non-coding RNA (1636 nucleotides) under Marmota monax (woodchuck). The record is from RNAcentral. Lineage: Eukaryota; Metazoa; Chordata; Mammalia; Rodentia; Sciuridae.
GGGUACGUACAAGGACAUUAAUGCCACGUCAGGGCCCGUGUCAAGGAAGGGUUGCGAAGUCGGGGUGGCCCUCCCCUAACACGGGGCCCCGCCCCUCCUCUGCAGCCUGGGUCCUCCUUCUCUCUCCUCCUUCCCUCUCUUGGCAGAGAACUGGUGGAGCCGCCCCAGGCCCCAGCUUCUCUCCUGUCACCUUCCACGUUGCCCUCAGGCCACUGUCACCGGUGUUGCCCAAUGGCUUGUCCUCCUUUGGGGUUGAAGGGGAGACACAGCUGGUUUCCUGGGUGACUCAGGAGGCAGUUUGAAAGGCUGGCAGUGCAGGGAAUUGGGGGUUAGCAGCAAACCUGCCCCUGGGCCAGCAGGAGCCGCUGCUGGGAAGAGGGAACCUCCCCGCAGCUCCUGAGCUCUUGGGGAGGACGGGGGCGCAGCCAAGUCUCCAAGAGCGCUCACUGCUGCAGAUGUUUCCCAGCUGCCUCUCAUUUCCGCAGGGCACUGAAGAGGAAAUGGGCCUCAGCUGCCGCAGGAGGGUCUCCCUUCAAAAGGGGGAGGCCCUGCUCUCCCAGAGACAGACCAGGAGGGGCCCCUCGGGACAGGAGGAUUCCGCUCUGGAGAGAACGGUGGGGGUGGGCAGGGGGAGUCCAGUGCCUAGCCGGCCAGUGCAGAGGUGAGGUUGUGUCUGUGCAGCCGCCAGACCAGCGUGGGGUCCUGCAGGGUGCAGGGGGACGGCUGGGAUGUUUCGUUGGGUGGCUUUGACGGAUCCCUUUGGGGUUAUCGUGUGUCCCAGGGCUUUGUGUGUCCCAAGGGGACACAGUGGGGUUGGAUGGCAGAAAAAAUGGCCUUGAUGCUGCUAGGGGUCGGCCCUGGCCUAAGAGGGACUUGGUCUCCUUCUGUGUCCCCUGCUCCACAUCACACCUUGAGCGUUCUGCACCUCGCCUCAGCUGGCAGAGCUAACCACGAAAGACCCCCACACGCCCCGCACGCCCCGCUGAAUUGACAAACGUGCGAGGGAGGGCCGUCACAGAGGAAGGGCUGUCUUUGCAACAAACAGAGCUGGAGCAGGGGACAUCUGUGGGCAUGAAACAAAAAUAGGAAAAUCUCAGCUGACACCUCACCCCUCCAGAUGCACUCCACGCUGGAACCGCCACCAAACCACAGAACUCUCAGGCAAUCAGUGGGAGGAAGUCCUCUGGACCUGGGACUGUCACCACUGAGGGUCCCAGGAGGUCUCUUCAGGGGCAGAGGAGACUUCCACUGGGUCCUUCCAGGCUCUUGACACACCACAGAGAAGAAUUUAAGGACACAUCAGGAUCUUGGUUAGGAAAUGAAGGUGAAGAUCCGCCCUCUUGAGUGGAAUAGGGGCUCUCGAGCGGGGGGAGCACCCCCAGGGCUCAAGGCCCCAAUUCUGACGAGGGAACACAGUUAGGUGGCAUAUGUGGGCUCCGGAGAGGCGGACUUCCCGGAGGGCUGGGAGAUACCAUGUUCCCCAUCGGGGUCUCGUCUAGCCGGGAGGUUUGCGCUCAAUGGACAUCCCCUGCUAUCGGGUGGGUGAGGGGUGACUGGGCCAGGGGUCGGGGUCCCACCAGGGGCUCUUCUGUUGGAUCUCUUCCUGCUUUUCUGCAUUCUAGCAGGCUCACCGGGC